UACGGGGGGGGUAAGCGUUGUUCGGAAUUACUGGGCGUAAAGGGCUCGUAGGCGGCCAACUAAGUCAGACGUGAAAUCCCUCAGCUUAACUGGGGAACUGCGUCUGAUACUGGAAGGCUUGAAUCCGGGAGAGGGAUGCGGAAUUCCAGGUGUAGUGGUGAAAUGCGUAGAUAUCGGGAGGAACACCAGUGGCGAAGGCGACUUCCUGGCCUGUUCUUGACGCUGAGGCGCGAAAGCUAGGGUAGCAAACGGG
RNAcentral lists this ribosomal RNA (253 nucleotides) under uncultured bacterium. RNAcentral's name for it is "partial 16S ribosomal RNA". It matches the Rfam family "Bacterial small subunit ribosomal RNA", at positions 524 to 776 of the family's 1533-position model. The record is from RNAcentral.